Mustela lutreola (European mink) is the source of this 1916-nucleotide long non-coding RNA. RefSeq lists it as uncharacterized. Lineage: Eukaryota; Metazoa; Chordata; Mammalia; Carnivora; Mustelidae. The record is from RefSeq and is a predicted model, not a curated record. The transcript is spliced from 2 exons.
CCGGGUUGGGAUGUUGAGAGCUCGGGCGGAGGGGAGGAAAAGAGCAGGGCUGGGAGUGAGCGGCACAGUAUAGCCAGCGUCACCCUUUUACGGGGACUCUCUCUCUAUCGCUGUAGCGACCAGAGAGGCCAGAGGACCCCUUAAAAAUCCGCUCUGCUAAGCCCCGGGGACGACCUCCUUCGCGCCUUCGGAUUGGGCCCACGAACCGGCCUGGGCUUUCCCAUUGGUGGCUGGCGCCCCGAGCUCAGCGCACAGCUUGCCGGGAGUUGUAGGAGCGGCGGCGUCUUAGUGCCAAAGGCUUCCGACGUGACGACCGACGUUUCUGCUCAGCCGGCGUGAGCCCGGAGCUCCCCUCGGGGCCUGCCCAGCUUAUUUUAGUUCAGGAAUCCCUCAAGCCUAGAGUUCCGGCUACAAGAGCUUCAUUUCCCGGGGCAAGGGCCCUGAGGCCCUGGUUCUGUGGCCCCGUCUGGUUGACUGUUGAACCGAGGGGUGGCGGUUGGGGAGCUCGGCUCCUCGGCGUCUGGGGCUGGAGAAGCCGUUGUUUCCCUUCGGGGCCAGGGCCGCGGAAGUUCUGAGGGCGUAAGGGUUUGUCCCCCAGGACGCUCCAGUUCUGUACACCAGAAACGGAGCACGUUUGUCCUGCCGUUUUGAUCAUGGCGGAGGGCCCGUGACUGGUCACCGUGGAGGGGGGAGGAUGUCGACGAGGGAUGGACGCUUUGUGGGCUCACAGACUGAUGGCGAAGAUGAACGCGUCAGGCAGCCUUGACAGUUUCUCUGUCUCCUCCUCUCAGUGUCCGUACCAGGAGUCUCCUCGUUCGGCCCUGUGGGGGCUUGGCCACACCUGGGAUCCGGGACCCGUAACUCCUCAAUUUCCAGAAAUGGUGUACUUGAGGCUGGACAAGAAAGAACAUAUAAACUGGUCUCAGAAGACAUUUUGUAUAUGUGCUGCCGAAGCGAGCACUCAGAAGACAUUUUGGAUCAACUGUGAAAGACUUCACCUCAGCAGAUUACAGUCCUCUUCUGAAGUCUCAGACGUAGUCCCGGAAGGACUGUUGAGAACACACAAGGUGGUGUCGCCAGAACCGGUUAGGAGAGGCUUGAGAUUCCACUGCUAGACCCUCCAUGACCCAGGGAGGGGCUGCGGUGGGAAAUGGCCCCAAGUGUAACUGAGGCAACAUCCCAGUCUCCCUCAGGCAGAAGAGCCGUCGUCACACGUAGCAGCGAAUCCGCAGGAGCAAAGAAGCUGAAAGCUUCCAAUGCCUCCUCAUAUUUUAAUACAUAUAAUUACAUGGUGGCCAAUAUUUAUAUAAUAUUUUAAGCCUCUGAUAGCACUUUUACACAUGACCAGACUCUUUCAGAAGUAGUAUGGGUUGGGACGACAGAUUUGAGCUUAAAUUCUGGUUCAACUUGCUGGUUGUGUGAUCUUAAGUAUGUUACUUAACCUCUCAGGACCUGUUUUCUCCUCUGUAAAAUGGUGAUGGUGAUGGUGAUGGGGCAAGGUGAUACCCGCCACAUAGGAUAAGGCUUGAAUGAGAAAAAUAUCUAGUAUGAUGUCUGACACAUAGGAGGCACUCAAUUUCCUUUCCUUCUCUAAAGGUAGCUAUUUGCAUCAGUUGACCUCAAACUUCCAGAGUAGUCAAAUGUGUAGAAAGGUAACAUAGUCUCUUCAGAUCUGUCUCAUGUCACACAGUGAUUCUUCACUGCAGUGAUGGGGGUGGGGGGAGUGAUGUCUGUCUGGUUAAAAAGCCCCUGCAUCCCCUGCCCCCAGACUUCCCUGCUGAGAAUCACUGGGCUACACUUUGAUAUCCCAAGUAUCUCUCAGUAAUUUAAUAUUGUUGUUUGAUAUUUUCACUCAUGGCUUUAUUUCAAUAAAGACUUGCCUUCAUGGGAGGGUAAGACAUGAAGCUAAUGAAAAA